RNAcentral lists this ribosomal RNA (253 nucleotides) under uncultured bacterium. RNAcentral describes it as "partial 16S ribosomal RNA". It matches the Rfam family "Bacterial small subunit ribosomal RNA", at positions 524 to 776 of the family's 1533-position model. The record is from RNAcentral.
UACGGGGGGGGCAAGCGUUGUUCGGAAUUACUGGGCGUAAAGGGCGCGUAGGCGGUUUGUUAAGUUGGAUGUGAAAACUCUGGGCUUAACCCAGAGCCUGCAUCCAAAACUAGCGAGCUAGAGUUCUGGAGGGGAUAGCGGAAUUCCUGGUGUAGCGGUGAAAUGCGUAGAUAUCAAGUGGAACACCAGUGGCGAAGGCGAGUCUCUGGACAUUUCCUGACGCUGAGGCACGAAAGCCAGGGGAGCAAACGGG